This 115-nucleotide non-coding RNA is filed under the name Leeuwenhoekiella marinoflava. The record is from RNAcentral. Lineage: Bacteria; Pseudomonadati; Bacteroidota; Flavobacteriia; Flavobacteriales; Flavobacteriaceae. RNAcentral also lists the same sequence under 1 other name.
AGUGACCCACCAAUGUUGUCCUACAGGGAAGAGCGUUAAACCACCAUAAGGUGCUUUGGUUAAGAGCUAAGGUAUUGAGCGUUAUGGAAAAGGCUACGUCAAGAACUAGUCAGGU